Molecule: long non-coding RNA, 445 nt
Organism: Homo sapiens (human)
Lineage: Eukaryota; Metazoa; Chordata; Mammalia; Primates; Hominidae
Exons: 4
Source: RefSeq, a predicted model, not a curated record
UUGGGAUUCAUCCCGAAGUGAGUCUCGCUCCAGUUUUCGGGCAUUAAGGACAUCUUCCACAUUGGUGUUUCGGAACAGAACUACAGUGAACUUCCAAGCUUCCUCACAGGCUGUGUUAAAGUUUUCCCAUUUAUAAGCCAAUCUUGCCAGAAGAGGCUCUGGAACUCAAAUGGGUUACUGCCAGAAGAAUCUGGGACAGCUGCACUAGUGUUAUAUUUCAACCAUGUACCCAAUCUAUGAACUGCUUCCACCAAAUGGUCACUCUGUCACCCAAGCUGGAGUGCAGUGGCACAAUCACGGCUCACUGCAGCCACAGCCUCCUAGGCUCAAGUGAUCCUCCCACUUCAGACUUCUGAGUAGCUGGGACUACAGCUCUGAUCUCUCUCAUACCCUCCUUCCCACCACCAAUGAUUACUGUAAAUACUGUAAUGGAUCAAGCACGACG